GAUGAACGCUGGCGGCGUGCCUAAUACAUGCAAGUCGAGCGAACAGAUAAGGAGCUUGCUCCUUUGACGUUAGCGGCGGACGGGUGAGUAACACGUGGGUAACCUACCUAUAAGACUGGAAUAACUCCGGGAAACCGGGGCUAAUGCCGGAUAACAUUUAGAACCGCAUGGUUCUAAAGUGAAAGAUGGUUUUGCUAUCACUUAUAGAUGGACCCGCGCCGUAUUAGCUAGUUGGUAAGGUAACGGCUUACCAAGGCAACGAUACGUAGCCGACCUGAGAGGGGGAUCGGCCACACUGGAACUAGGACACGGUCCAGACUCCUACGGGAGGCAGCAGUAGGGAAUCUUCCGCAAUGGGCGAAAGCCUGACGGAGCAACGCCGCGUGAGGGAGGAAGGUCUUCGGAUCGUAAAACUCUGUUAUUAGGGAAGAACAAAUGUGUAAGUAACUGUGCACGUCUUGACGGUACCUAAUCAGAAAGCCACGGCUAACUACGUG
Molecule: ribosomal RNA, 497 nt
Filed under: uncultured bacterium
Lineage: Bacteria
Description: partial 16S ribosomal RNA
Rfam family: Bacterial small subunit ribosomal RNA
Source: RNAcentral